Long non-coding RNA from Suricata suricatta (meerkat), 339 nucleotides. RefSeq lists it as uncharacterized. The record is from RefSeq and is a predicted model, not a curated record. Lineage: Eukaryota; Metazoa; Chordata; Mammalia; Carnivora; Herpestidae. The transcript has 4 exons.
AAUAUUCCAGCAAGUUGCUGUGACUGAAAUCCAACCAUCGUUGUUCCUUGUUCAAAUGAGGGCCUUUUAAACAUUCCACUGGGGGCUUGCAGAGGACGUCUGGAGCUGGUCAGUCAAGAGGCAGCAGGAACUGGUAGCAGAAUCAACAAGAAUUUUUAAAAAGUGGAAAUAUGAGCAGUUCAGAUGCAGUCUACUUUCCUCAUAGCACAUCAGCAAGAGAAUUCCAGGCACAGCACCUGACCAACUUCGGGAGAACAAAGCCUCCAUCUGGACGAAGGGAAAGAGAGCUGGUCGCCCGUGGAGCAGCAAAGAACAAGGCUCUGCUUCCCUUUGAAGCAC